RNA transcript from Cephus cinctus (wheat stem sawfly), 3474 nucleotides. RefSeq lists it as uncharacterized. The transcript is spliced from 3 exons. The record is from RefSeq and is a predicted model, not a curated record. Lineage: Eukaryota; Metazoa; Arthropoda; Insecta; Hymenoptera; Cephidae.
GUGGGCCCCCUUUCGGCCCCCUGCCCGAGGACUCCCGAAGAAUUCCGAGUUCGCUCGAACUCCUGCGAUCGCUCUCGCCUCGGUCCUAUCAUUUCGGCGCUCGCAUUCCGCCAGUGUCCGGGCGGCGCCGAACUUACCCGAGUUCGCCCGAUCUUCGAACUCGGCGCUGCCGGUUUCUCUCCCCGGCUUCUCCUCGCCCAGAUCCUCCGUCGUCGUAGACAAUCUCUCGGCGGCUUUCACCGGCGACACGGUCUCCGCGCCCCUAUCCUUCUUAUGUAACGGGCCAUCGCGCGGACGCCAUGUUACAAUAUAUAUCAGUUAGCCAUGCAAACAAAACAUGUACAGAUGCAUAGGGCUGCGUCAUAAUUCAAGUAAACGAGGUAUAGCCACUAGCGAUCGUAUAUCGAUGAAGAUCAGACAGAGUCGAAUGACGUUAUGCUGAAAGUGACAUCAGUUUCAUUUUGAGACGACUUAUUUACGUAUAAGUUCGUAAGUAAAUGGCAUCUUAAUAUGGAACUGACGUGGCGGCGUAAUAGCUCAACAUACGUAAGGUCAACCAAUCGGAGAAGACAGAGUCCGGUGACGUCACUGUCUAAAUGCGCAAAAUCGCUAGUGGCUAUACCUCGUAUAUCUGUGUGAUGGCUGCGUAAUAUAUAUGUGUAUACAUAUACAAUGUAAAAAUUUGAGAAAUUUACUUAUUCCGCUCUGACAUCCUUGCGGGGCUGUUCGCUGUUGGAGAAGGAACGCACUCCUUACGUCGUCACGCUAGCUGCUCAAGUUCAGUGCAAAUCAGACCAGAAGACGCGACACACUCUGCGGACUCAGUAGCGUCGAUCAGUGCCAUCAGGAAUUAAUUUAGUGUACAAACACGUGUUUGAUUACUGGAUAUACUGUAUAAAGGACGUACAUCAGCAAUGGAUCCAAGGACAAAAACGUCUGCACCUUCUUCGCCUCCGCAGCAUGCGGUGCCGCUAUCGACAUUCAACCAAAGCGGCCCGUAUUACCAACAAGCCGCGGAACCACCUUUUUAUCAAAGACCUUCUUUAACGGAUUCUCUUUUACCACCAUUGCAAAGCCAAACACGCAAUAUUGUAUUCGUCCAGCAAGAUCCGGUUAGAGGAUCGUUUCGGAAGAGGAAUAAAGUUGUACUCACUCUUGCCUUCGUUGUUCUGACAGUGCUAUUUAUAGGAACGAUCGUUGCUUUUAUGCGGCGUCUCUCGGAUGCUAAGCCGAUUACCGACUUAUGAUGAUCCUGUUCUAUGGUACUCCGAAUUCGGUAGUGACGAGUCUCUAGAAUUUACGAUUACUUUUAUUCUAAAGCUAAAGAUCGGCGCACAGUGAAACUUGAGCUAGUUUGUCUCGUAGAGACAUGUAAGUCACGUGAGGAACCAAUCAGAUACGAGAAACGAUCACGACGUUUCUCUCUCUCUUUCUCUCGGUUACAGGUUAGGUUAAAUUCAUGCGUGCGCAUCAUUUCGGUUUUUAAGAAAGAUGAGCACCUCUCACAUUAUGCUAAACUUGGGUGGCUCAAGGACAGUCAAAAAUAUCUACUAGCUACGCCAGUGUAUGUGCAAAGUUCUAGAGACGGGAAUUCCCACUUAUGUUACACUACGCGUCGGAGACUGGAUGGUCUGGUAAAUUCACGACAUCGCACUGAAUUCUGUAGAUACUUUUUUACAAUAUCCGCACCCCUGUUCUGGAAUUCCUUGCCGAAUGAAAUUAGGGAAGCUCCCUCGCGUAGGGCUUUUCAGCGUUACUUCGCAACUUUAUAAUUGACAUGUGAAUUUCUUCGUAUCACUAUUAUUAUUAUUGGCACUGUGUUAUAUAUAUACUAAUCAACAAGUUAUAAUGCUAGGACCGUUUAUAUCCUCCCUUAGUACAUCCUAAAUACACUGUGCUAGGCAGCUAGGCGUCCCGGAGGGAUAACGAAAGACGAGCGAGUAGGAGGGCAGAUGCAUUAGAACUUCAAUCUGGCCAUUACUGUUUUUUUUUUCCUAAUAAAAAAAAAGUUAUUCUUACUCUUUAAGCUGAGUGUAUAGUAUUUUGUGAGAUAACCCUCACACUUGGGAUCGUAAAUCACGAUUUGUAUAACGAGUACUAAUUUGUCUUUCCAUAUGGUUGCGAUACAUGCGGAGUAAAAAAUAGAGACGCACGCGAGGACGCAGUAGAAGACAGUUAUUCUGCAAUAGGAGGGGCAAGUAUAGCGCAGCCAGACAAUAAGGACGGCUUCCAUGUAAGCGACAGCUUAGAACGGUUAGGUUAGGUUAGGUAAGUAUAAGUAAUAGCACAUACAUCGUGAGCAUAACGGACGUCACACACAUGGUCCACGCUGGACCAUAUAUGGGAGCUUUCGUUAUUGGUGAAAUAAAAGCCCAGCGAAUGAGUGAUCAUUUGAAAGUGGAGCGGCUCGAAGUAAGCAAAACUGGUAAACAAUCGACGGGAGAGUCGUCGCGACGCUAAGGGACAGUAGUAACCGACGCCUCCGUAAACGCUAAUGAAUUUCACUGAAUAACCACCAGAUGGAACAGGCGAAGAGGAUACUCAAGUUACGAUCAAAGGACGAGAAGUCAUCUCGUUUGCGGUCUGAAGGCAGCAGCGAUUACUUAAUGUGCAUAUACGAUACCGCGAGCUUCGUUGUAAUAGGGAAAUUAGCGAUUCACUUCAAGGGAUGUAAAAUUCUACCGUGCUAAUUAUCCGCGUAGAUUUCAGAAGGGUGAGCGGAUAUCGAUAAGGGGCACUUGCGAGGAAAAAUAAAAAACUGUAGCACAAGGGUGAAUCAGGAUUGGUAUCAGUUCCAUGUAUAUAAGUCGCCAAUAAGAUUUCAGUAAAUGAGAUCAAUAAUUUGCGCAAAGAACUUUAUCCGGGAAGAUACCUGUAACCUGGAUGGAAAGGAGAGGCGAAAUUGCGGAGGAAGUGAAUCGAAGGUGGCUGCUAGUCGAGGAUGGCUGACUGCUACAGGGAAAUAGCUACUUCGCGGCAGAGGGAAAGAGAAGAGAAGCAAAAGCUGGAAGGAAUUUAAGGAGGGGAGAAGAAAGAAGCUAAGGUGAAGAAAUUUAGGAAAGGAAGAGGCUGCGGAUGGAGGAAGGACUUCGAUUCGCACUAAUCCCUGGCGACAUAGCUUAGAUUGCAGAUGGGGAGGAUCGGGAAUGGAUAUAGGGCCUGGAACAGGGAGAGUAACGACAUUAUUGUUAUCAAGACGGAGAUGCGUCUAAAGCGAACACCGAUCGCGAUACGUAUAUCGCGGAUGCUGCGAGACGCGCGACAAGAUGAAAAUAAAAUUACAGACUCUUGCGCUCUCUCGCACUCUCUGCGCCACUCAAUUCGAUUCCCUCCGUCCUCCCUGCACUUACAGCCACACUCUUGUCCCAUCAGCUUCACCAGCAACGACAGAAGGAACCCGCCGCUGCUUUCUUCCCUUCGACAACUCCGGAACUAAUAAAGAUUCGGCCUUUAGAAAAUACUCUCUCCACCCUA